CCCCAGACUCCUACGGGAGGCAGCAGUGGGGAAUAUUGCACAAUGGGGGAAACCCCGAUGCAGCGACGCCGCGUGAGUGAAGAAGUACUUCGUUAUGUAAAGCUCUAUCAGCAGGGAAGAAAAUGACGGUACCUGAGUAAGAAGCCCCGGCUAACUACGUGCCAGCAGCCGCGGUAAUACGUAGGGGGCAAGCGUUAUCCGGAUUUACUGGGUGUAAAGGGAGCGUAGACGGCCAUGCAAGCCAGGGGUGAAAGCCCGGGGCCCAACCCCGGGACUGCCCUUGGAACUGUGCGGCUAGAGUGCGGGAGGGGCAGGCGGAAUUCCUGGUGUAGCGGUGAAAUGCGUAGAUAUCAGGAGGAACGCCGGCGGCGGAGGCGGCUUGCUGGACUGAAACUGACGCUGAGGCUCGAAAGCGUGGGGAGCAAACAGGAUUAGAUACCCCCGUA
This 446-nucleotide ribosomal RNA is filed under the name uncultured bacterium. RNAcentral's name for it is "bacterial SSU rRNA". It matches the Rfam family "Bacterial small subunit ribosomal RNA", at positions 329 to 792 of the family's 1533-position model. The record is from RNAcentral.